RNAcentral lists this ribosomal RNA (463 nucleotides) under uncultured bacterium. RNAcentral's name for it is "bacterial SSU rRNA". It matches the Rfam family "Bacterial small subunit ribosomal RNA", at positions 331 to 792 of the family's 1533-position model. The record is from RNAcentral.
CCAGACUCCUACGGGAGGCAGCAGUGAGGAAUAUUGGUCAAUGGGCGGGAGCCUGAACCAGCCAAGCCGCGUGAAGGAAGAAGGCGCCAGGCGUCGUAAACUUCUUUUGUCGGGGAACAAAGGGCGCCACGCGUGGCGUUGUGAGUGUACCCGAAGAAAAAGCAUCGGCUAACUCCGUGCCAGCAGCCGCGGUAAUACGGAGGAUGCGAGCGUUAUCCGGUUUUAUUGGGUUUAAAGGGUGCGUAGGCGGCCCGGAAGGUCAGGGGUAAAAGCCCGGGGCCCACCCCCGGCGAGCCGUUGAAACUGUCGGACUAGAGACGGCGAGAAGUACGCGGAAUGCGCGGUGUAGCGGUGAAAUGCGUAGAUAUCAGGAGGAACACCGGCGGCGAAGGCGGCCUGCUGGACCGCGACUGACGUUGAGGCUCGAAAGCGUGGGGAGCAAACAGGAUUAGAUACCCCCGUA